GAUGAACGCUGGCGGCGUGCCUAAUACAUGCAAGUCGAGCGAACAGAUAAGGAGCUUGCUCCUUUGACGUUAGCGGCGGACGGGUGAGUAACACGUGGGUAACCUACCUAUAAGACUGGGAUAACUUCGGGAAACCGGAGCUAAUACCGGAUAACAUUUGGAACCGCAUGGUUCUAAAGUGAAAGAUGGUUUUGCUAUCACUUAUAGAUGGACCCGCGCCGUAUUAGCUAGUUGGUAAGGUAACGGCUUACCAAGGCAACGAUACGUAGCCGACCUAAGAGGGUGAUCGGCCACACUGGAACUGAGACACGGUCCAGACUCCUACGGGAGGCAGCAGUAGGGAAUCUUCCGCAAUGGGCGAAAGCCUGACGGAGCAACGCCGCGUGAGUGAUGAAGGGUUUCGGCUCGUAAAACUCUGUUAUUAGGGAAGAACAAACGUGUAAGUAACUGUGCACGUCUUGACGGUACCUAAUCAGAAAGCCACGGCUAACUACGUG
This 497-nucleotide ribosomal RNA is filed under the name uncultured bacterium. RNAcentral describes it as "partial 16S ribosomal RNA". It matches the Rfam family "Bacterial small subunit ribosomal RNA", at positions 28 to 507 of the family's 1533-position model. The record is from RNAcentral.